RNAcentral lists this small RNA (27 nucleotides) under Arabidopsis thaliana (thale cress). RNAcentral's name for it is "ATSL061540". Lineage: Eukaryota; Viridiplantae; Streptophyta; Magnoliopsida; Brassicales; Brassicaceae. The record is from RNAcentral.
AGAAGAGGUAUGUGGAAAAGAUUGGUG